UCCCUGGUGGUCCAAUGGUUAAGAUUCUGUGCUUCCACUGCAGUGGGCAUGGGUUUGAUUCCUGGUCAGGGAA
Molecule: non-coding RNA, 73 nt
Organism: Bos taurus (domestic cattle)
Lineage: Eukaryota; Metazoa; Chordata; Mammalia; Artiodactyla; Bovidae
Source: Rfam